CUUGGUCAUUUAGAGGAAGUAAAAGUCGUAACAAGGUCUCCGUUGGUGAACCAGCGGAGGGAUCAUUACCGAGUUUACAACUCCCAAACCCCUGUGAACAUACCAAUUGUUGCCUCGGCGGAUCAGCCCGCUCCCGGUAAAACGGAACGGCCCGCCAGAGGACCCCUAAACUCUGUUUCUAUAUGUAACUUCUGAGUAAAACCAUAAAUAAAUCAAAACUUUCAACAACGGAUCUCUUGGUUCUGGCAUCGAUGAAGAACGCAGCAAAAUGCGAUAAGUAAUGUGAAUUGCAGAAUUCAGUGAAUCAUCGAAUCUUUGAACGCACAUUGCGCCCGCCAGUAUUCUGGCGGGCAUGCCUGUUCGAGCGUCAUUUCAACCCUCAAGCCCCCGGGUUUGAUGUUGGGGAUCGGCGAGCCUCACGGCAAGCCGGCCCCGAAAUACAGUGGCGGUCUCGCUGCAGCUUCCAUUGCGUAGUAGUAAAACCCUCGCAACUGGUACGCGGCGCGGCCAAGCCGUUAAACCCCCAACUUCUGAAUGUUGACCUCGGAUCAGGUAGGAAUACCCGCUGAACUUAAGCAUAUCAAUAAGCGGAGGA
This 595-nucleotide ribosomal RNA is filed under the name uncultured Ascomycota. RNAcentral's name for it is "eukaryotic LSU rRNA". The stretch from base 217 to 370 matches the Rfam family "5.8S ribosomal RNA". The record is from RNAcentral. Lineage: Eukaryota; Fungi; Ascomycota.